UUGCCUGCCACGCCAUAACAAGGAGCGACCCGUUAGGAAGGAGGAGGGGAAAAAAGCUACAGACAGGGGAUAAACAAUAAGAGGAGAAAGUUUGGUUGUGAUCUGAUGGCAAACCCAGCGGUUGAGCAGAGAGGUAUAUAAAGGGAAGCACGAGAGGCAGUUGAGGCUGUGAAAUCUUUGAGGAUGAGUCAUAGAUGGAUCAUCAAGGAAGGAGAAAAGCCGCUUUUUUAGGGUUUUCUUUCUUCUUUUUCGUUCCUUAAUCUUUUUCUGGUUAAAAGCAAAGAGAAGAUUAGGCAUAUGGUAUGUCUGGUCGCUUUGAGAAAAGAAACUCAAAGAGGAAAUAUAUAUAUAUUAAAAAAAAUACUAAUAGAAAAAAAAAAGUGUUGCAUGCAACUAACAAAGUGCUUUUGUCUAGUCCUUGAGAAGGAUCUAGUCGCAGCUCUUGUUCUCUAUGAAGGCUUUGAACGUU
Molecule: long non-coding RNA, 469 nt
Organism: Tarenaya hassleriana
Lineage: Eukaryota; Viridiplantae; Streptophyta; Magnoliopsida; Brassicales; Cleomaceae
Exons: 2
Source: RefSeq, a predicted model, not a curated record